RNAcentral lists this ribosomal RNA (406 nucleotides) under uncultured bacterium. Its description in RNAcentral is "partial 16S ribosomal RNA". It matches the Rfam family "Bacterial small subunit ribosomal RNA", at positions 30 to 526 of the family's 1533-position model. The record is from RNAcentral.
AUUGAACGCUGGCGGCAGGCCUAACACAUGCAAGUCGAACGAGUGGCGGACGGGUGAGUAAUGUCUGGGAAACUGCCCGCUGGAGGGGGAUAACUAAUGGAAACAGUAGCUAAUACCGCAUACCAUUGGAUGUGCCCAGAUGGGAUUAGCUAGUAGGUGGGGUGACGGCUGACCUAGGCGAACAUCCCUAGCUGGUCUGAGAGGAUGACCAGCCACACUGGAACUGAGACACGUUCCAGACUCCUACGGGAGGCAGCAGUGGGGAAUAUUGGACAAUGGGCGCAAGCCUGAUGCAGCCAUGCCGCUUGUAUGAAGAAGGCCUUCGGGUUGUAAAGUACUUUCAUCAAGGAGGCGGUACUCGCAGAAGAAGCACCGGCUAACUCCGUGCCAGCAGCCGCGGUAAUAC